This 1215-nucleotide ribosomal RNA is filed under the name Triticum aestivum (bread wheat). RNAcentral's name for it is "partial small subunit ribosomal RNA". Lineage: Eukaryota; Viridiplantae; Streptophyta; Magnoliopsida; Poales; Poaceae. The record is from RNAcentral.
AUGCCGCCGGCGAGGAGCCCGGCCGCCGGCCUGCGGCGGCGCAAAGUCUUCCUCCCUCUCGUGUUGCUCCUCCCCCUUAUUCUACUGACCCUAAUCCUGAUCUUCCCAUCUCGCUCCAUCCCCGCGCUCCGCGACGCAGCUCUCAGGUCCCAACAGACCUGCGACUACGCUGCCGGCGGAUGGGUGUCCGACUCCUCCGCCGAGUCCCACCUCCGGUACGACCACACGUGCAAGGAGAUCUUCAAGGGGUGGAACUGCAUCGCCAACGGCAAGCGCAACGGCCGCGCCCUCCUCCGCUGGCGAUGGAAGCCCGAAGGGUGCGAGCUACUCCCCAGGCUCGACCCGCUCCGGUUCUUAGAGCGUCAUAGGAACACCAACAUUGGAUUUGUGGGUGAUUCUUUGAAUCGAAACAUGUUUGUCUCAUUGGUCUGCAUGCUCAGGGGAGUGAACGGAGAGGUUCGCAAGUGGCGUCCAGCAGGGGCAGACCGAGGUUUCACAUUCCUACGCUACAACCUCACCCUCGCAUACCACCGAACUAAUCUUUUGGUACGCUAUGGCAGCUGGUCAGCCAGUCCAAACGGAGGUCCCCUAGAAUCUCUUGGAUACAAGCAAGGCCACAGGAUUGAUGUUGAUAUUGCGGACCAAACAUGGGCAGAGGCACCAAGCUUCCAUGAUAUUCUUAUUUUCAAUACGGGGCAUUGGUGGUGGUCCUCUUCAAAGUUUGAUCCAAUACAGUCACCGAUGCUCUUCUUUGAGAAAGGGAAGCCGAUUAUACCUCCUUUACUGCCACCUGAAGGACUGGAUUUGACUCUUAAACACAUGAUAACAUUUGCGAACAAAGCAAUGAGACCCAAUGGAUUGAAAUUCUUCAGCACUCAAUCUCCUAGACAUUUUGAAGGUGGUGAUUGGAAUGAAGGUGGAUCUUGUCAACGUGACCAACCCUUGUCCUCUGAAGAGGUCAAAGAAUUUUUCUCCUUGGACAACAACGGCACAAACACAGAAGUACGUUUGGUAAACCAGCACUUGAUGAAGGCUCUGGAGCAGUCUUCCUUCAGAGUUUUGAACGUCACUCACAUGAGCGAAUUCAGAGCUGACGCUCAUCCGGCGACAACCGGAGGAAAGAAGCACGACGAUUGCAUGCAUUGGUGUUUACCAGGACCAACCGAUGCAUGGAACGAUUUGCUAGCAGCAAGUCUUGCGGCAAUUCAGAGCUAG